This 31-nucleotide non-coding RNA is filed under the name Rattus norvegicus (Norway rat). Lineage: Eukaryota; Metazoa; Chordata; Mammalia; Rodentia; Muridae. The record is from RNAcentral.
GGGGCACCAGUUGUGCUGAUUGCUUCAGGUC